CCUACGGGAGGCUGCAGUGGGGAAUAUUGCACAAUGGGGGAAACCCUGAUGCAGCGACGCCGCGUGAGUGAAGAAGUAUUUCGGUACGUAAAGCUCUAUCAGCAGGGAAGAAAAUGACGGUACCUGACUAAGAAGCCCCGGCUAACUACGUGCCAGCAGCCGCGGUAAUACGUAGGGGGCAAGCGUUAUCCGGAUUUACUGGGUGUAAAGGGUGCGUAGGCGGCAGCGCAAGUCUGGAGUGAAAUCCCAUGGCUUAACCAUGGAACUGCUUUGGAAACUGUGCAGCUAGAGUGCAGGAGAGGUAAGCGGAAUUCGUAGUGUAGCGGUGAAAUGCGUAGAUAUUAGGAGGAACCCCAGUGGCGAAGGCGGCUUACUGGACUGUAACUGACGUUGAGGCUCGAAAGCGUGGGGAGCAAACAGGAUUAGAUACCCUUGUAGUC
Molecule: ribosomal RNA, 440 nt
Filed under: uncultured bacterium
Lineage: Bacteria
Description: partial 16S ribosomal RNA
Rfam family: Bacterial small subunit ribosomal RNA
Source: RNAcentral